This 259-nucleotide ribosomal RNA is filed under the name uncultured bacterium. Its description in RNAcentral is "partial 16S ribosomal RNA". It matches the Rfam family "Bacterial small subunit ribosomal RNA", at positions 79 to 334 of the family's 1533-position model. The record is from RNAcentral.
CGUAUAUGGUUUCCUAGUGGCGAACGGGUGAGUAACGCGUUGGUGACCUGCCCCGAAGAGGGGAAUAACAACUUGAAAGAGUUGCUAAUACCCCAUAAUAUCAUAAGGAUUAGAUGCCUAAUGAUUAAAGGAGUAAUCCGCUUCGGGAGGGGGCCUGCGUCCCCAUCAGCUAGUUGGUAGGGUAAUGGCCUACCAAGGCGACGACGGGUAGGGGGCCUGAGAGGGUGGCCCCCCACAAUGGUACUGAAACACGGACCAU